GACGAACGCUGGCGGCGUGCUUAACACAUGCAAGUCGAACGGUAAGGCCCUUCGGGGUACACGAGUGGCGAACGGGUGGGUAACACGUGGGUGAUCUGCCCUGCACUUCGGGAUAAGCCUGGGAAACUGGGUCUAAUACCGGAUAGGACCCUGGGAUGCAUGUCCUGGGGUGGAAAGCUUUUGCGGUGUGGGAUGGGCCCGCGGCCUAUCAGCUUGUUGGUGGGGUGAUGGCCUACCAAGGCGACGACGGGUAGCCGGCCUGAGAGGGUGACCGGCCACACUGGGACUGAGAUACGGCCCAGACUCCUACGGGAGGCAGCAGUGGGGAAUAUUGCACAAUGGGCGCAAGCCUGAUGCAGCGACGCCGCGUGAGGGACGACGGCCUUCGGGUUGUAAACCUCUUUCAGCACCGACGAAGCGCAAGUGACGGUAGGUGCAGAAGAAGGACCGGCCAACUACGUGCCAGCAGCCGCAGUAA
This 478-nucleotide ribosomal RNA is filed under the name uncultured bacterium. Its description in RNAcentral is "partial 16S ribosomal RNA". It matches the Rfam family "Bacterial small subunit ribosomal RNA", at positions 28 to 523 of the family's 1533-position model. The record is from RNAcentral.